AUGUAUACUGCAGUCACACUGAAGGUCCUGAUCUUUGCUUUUGGUACAGACGCAGCAGGCCUAGUGUUCCUCAUAUUCCCCUUCCAGCACCAUCCCCGUGGCCACAGAGAUGAAUGGAAAUGCAGGUUAAAACUCUUGGUUAUGCAACUGUGGGGCCCUGAAUACAAAGGUGGUGUUGCUCAGCUUCUGUGCUGGAAAUACCGUAGAAACCCCACAGGGAGCUCAGGGGUCUUGGUGGAAACAGCACUAAAGACAGAAAGCAGAGAGAGGAUGAAGCAAAUUAAAAGUGGGAACAUUUCUCUCCUGAAUCCAGAUGUACCAAAGAAGGAGGAAAGUCUCACUGCAGAGCUCUACAGGGAAAAUGCAAGUGAGAUUUUUCAGCAUAUCAGCUGGCCAAUGGAUAUCAUUUAAUCAUCUAGUGGGACUUUCUGCAUAUCAAAGGCUGUUACAUCGCACACUGAUCUCGCUCUAGACUUCAGUCAGAGAAAAUAAUUUCAAACAUCGUUGCCCUCAGUGGUCUGUUGCAAGCAGCAGAGACCUUCCACAUCUACUGAAGGAAAUACGAUCAUGUGAGCUGAAUACUUCAGUUAGACAAGCUAAGAAAGUGCACUGUACAGCAGCAAAGGGAAUGGAUUGACCUGUGCUGGGUACCAUUUCUGGUGUGAUCCAGCAUCAUCACUCUUAAAAAAAAAAAAACAAAAAAAACCUUUCUCUCCUUUUGAAUGCAUCCCUCAGUUGUGUGUUGCAGGGGAAAGGAAUGGAAAUCUUCCUGAUCCCCGAAUCCCUAAAGCAUAGUUUUGAUAAAUAAAAUAAAGUACUACAUGAAAGCCA
This 831-nucleotide long non-coding RNA is filed under the name Anser cygnoides (Swan goose). RNAcentral's name for it is "lncRNA (ENSACDG00005002704.1)". The record is from RNAcentral. Lineage: Eukaryota; Metazoa; Chordata; Aves; Anseriformes; Anatidae.